RNAcentral lists this ribosomal RNA (399 nucleotides) under uncultured bacterium. Its description in RNAcentral is "bacterial SSU rRNA". It matches the Rfam family "Bacterial small subunit ribosomal RNA", at positions 30 to 416 of the family's 1533-position model. The record is from RNAcentral.
AGUGAACGCUGGCGGCAGGCCUAACACAUGCAAGUCGAGCGGCAGCGCGUCCGACCACCCUCGGGUGGUCGGAUGGCGGCGAGCGGCGGACGGGUGAGGAAUGCAUCGGAAUCUGCCUCGUUGUGGGGGAUAACGUAGGGAAACUUACGCUAAUACCGCAUACGACCUACGGGUGAAAGUGGGGACCUUCGGGCCUCACGCGAUGAGAUGAGCCGAUGUCAGAUUAGCUAGUUGGUGGGGUAAAGGCUCACCAAGGCGACGAUCUGUAGCGGGUCUGAGAGGAUGAUCCGCCACACUGGGACUGAGACACGGCCCAGACUCCUACGGGAGGCAGCAGUGGGGAAUUUUGGACAAUGGGCGCAAGCCUGAUCCAGCCAUGCCGCGUGAGUGAAGAAGGCC